Long non-coding RNA from Centrocercus urophasianus (Greater sage-grouse), 1315 nucleotides. RefSeq lists it as uncharacterized. The record is from RefSeq and is a predicted model, not a curated record. The transcript has 2 exons. Lineage: Eukaryota; Metazoa; Chordata; Aves; Galliformes; Phasianidae.
CCUGCUGCGGCAGGUCCGGCUCCGCCGGCCAGAUGGCUGUAGGUGCAUCUUGCAGAGCACCCCUGAUUGGGCCAGUCUGCCAGCCCAUCAGCGCGUGGAGAAGCGGCAGUGAAGGACGUGUGGUGGGGGUGGGGGUGUACGCAAUGGUCUCGGAGGUCUUUCCCAGCCUUUAUGAUGCUAAGAUUCCAUUAAUUGUUAUGCCGCACUUUGUUUAACCCUUUAACGUGUUGUUAUUUGCAUGGUUUCAGCAGCUGAAGGGUGAAAGUGAUUUAAUACCUCGUGUUCUGAACACAGCUGAGAACAGAUGUGCCACCACCCGCAAAUGGAAGGCCAGCAGCUCCCCAGACUUCUGCAAGUAAUUCCUCAGAGGCUCAUUCUUGACCUUGGCCAACAUAAAUUGAAGCUGUGUUACUGUGAGUUACCUGUGGCACAGAGACGCAAACCAGCCCUGAAUGGAAAGCAGGAAGACUGAUCAAAUUUAACUCUGGUAAAGGCACUAUGCUCUUUUCAAAGCAGCCAAGGGAAAUAUUUAUUAUAUUACUUAGAAGGUAGGCUGGGCUGGCAUUGCUUGUUUUCUUUUCUUUCUAUUCACUUGUGAUAUAGAAUCAUAGAAUGGUUUAAGAUCACCUAAUUCCAACCCCCUGAUAUAAGCAGGAUACCUCCCUUGAGACCGGGUUGUUCACAGCCCCAUCCAUCCCAGGUUGGAUGGGACCUAUAUCCGUAGGUCUGGUGUGAUUUCAUAUGAUAACUGAAGAGGAAGCCUUAUACUCAGAAGUGAUUCAGAAGUGUGCAGAACUAUGGGGAUAUAUGUCAGAGAUCCUUUUUCUUUUUUUUUUUUCUUUUUUUUUUUUUCCACAUAAAAGAUGCAUUUACAACAUAAAAUGACUCUGAGAAAGACCAAACUUGGGCUACUGGGGGUUAGCUGUAAACUUACACUGCAAAACACAAGUGACAGAAUUUAGUUUGCUUGUAGAUAUGUAUGGUGAUGACUUCAGUUGGGAGCUUCUCAACAAUCCUAAUCAGAAACCCUGAAGAAUAGCACUUGGCAGAUGUGCUGCUUUACCCAACCCCUCUGCUGACUUCCUGGUGAUCUUGGACCAACGUUGAUACUUGUUUCCCCACUAAAAGUAACUAUUUCUGCAGCCUCACCACUCAGCUGGCGCAUACUGACAAGCCACAACUAACUGAUACUAUCAGUGGAGCUUGCUGGAGCAUGCAGAGCAUUGCAUUAAGAAAUGACAUUCAAUGCUGCCUGAAAUAAAAGUCUGUUCCUUUGCUUUUUCACAUUAAAAAAAAAAAAAAAAAAAAAAAAAAA